This is a small nuclear RNA of Physeter macrocephalus (sperm whale), 104 nucleotides long. NCBI's taxonomy places the organism in Eukaryota, Metazoa, Chordata, Mammalia, Artiodactyla, Physeteridae. The record is from Ensembl.
GUACUCGCUUCAGCGGCACAUACACUAAAAUUGGAACAAUACAGAGAUGAGCGUGGCCUCUGCGCCAGUAUGACAUGCAUAUUCGUGAAGCGGUCCAUAUUAAA